UUUUGAGUGGUGAUGAACAAUUGUGUUUUGGAUAGUUUCUGAUACGGCUACAUUGUUGUAGUCGUUGAAGACCAAACCCUUGGCUGUCUGAACUCAAAU
Small nucleolar RNA from Setaria italica (foxtail millet), 99 nucleotides. It matches the Rfam family "Small nucleolar RNA Z157/R69/R10". From Rfam's summary of the family: Z157, R69 and R10 are members of the C/D class of snoRNA which contain the C (UGAUGA) and D (CUGA) box motifs. Most of the members of the box C/D family function in directing site-specific 2'-O-methylation of substrate RNAs. The record is from Rfam. Lineage: Eukaryota; Viridiplantae; Streptophyta; Magnoliopsida; Poales; Poaceae.